This 1000-nucleotide ribosomal RNA is filed under the name Microbacterium sp. HBUM178507. Its description in RNAcentral is "bacterial SSU rRNA". It matches the Rfam family "Bacterial small subunit ribosomal RNA", at positions 35 to 1045 of the family's 1533-position model. Lineage: Bacteria; Bacillati; Actinomycetota; Actinomycetes; Micrococcales; Microbacteriaceae. The record is from RNAcentral.
GGUGGGGGCGUGCUUACCAUGCAAGUCGAACGAUGAAGCUGGGGCUUGCUCUGGUGGAUUAGUGGCGAACGGGUGAGUAACACGUGAGCAACCUGCCCUGGACUCUGGGAUAAGCGCUGGAAACGGCGUCUAAUACUGGAUACGAGACGUGGCCGCAUGGUCAACGUUUGGAAAGAUUUUUCGGUCUGGGAUGGGCUCGCGGCCUAUCAGCUUGUUGGUGAGGUAAUGGCUCACCAAGGCGUCGACGGGUAGCCGGCCUGAGAGGGUGACCGGCCACACUGGGACUGAGACACGGCCCAGACUCCUACGGGAGGCAGCAGUGGGGAAUAUUGCACAAUGGGCGGAAGCCUGAUGCAGCAACGCCGCGUGAGGGAUGACGGCCUUCGGGUUGUAAACCUCUUUUAGCAGGGAAGAAGCGUGAGUGACGGUACCUGCAGAAAAAGCGCCGGCUAACUACGUGCCAGCAGCCGCGGUAAUACGUAGGGCGCAAGCGUUAUCCGGAAUUAUUGGGCGUAAAGAGCUCGUAGGCGGUUUGUCGCGUCUGCUGUGAAAUCCCGAGGCUCAACCUCGGGCCUGCAGUGGGUACGGGCAGACUAGAGUGCGGUAGGGGAGAUUGGAAUUCCUGGUGUAGCGGUGGAAUGCGCAGAUAUCAGGAGGAACACCGAUGGCGAAGGCAGAUCUCUGGGCCGUAACUGACGCUGAGGAGCGAAAGGGUGGGGAGCAAACAGGCUUAGAUACCCUGGUAGUCCACCCCGUAAACGUUGGGAACUAGUUGUGGGGUCCUUUCCACGGAUUCCGUGACGCAGCUAACGCAUUAAGUUCCCCGCCUGGGGAGUACGGCCGCAAGGCUAAAACUCAAAGGAAUUGACGGGGACCCGCACAAGCGGCGGAGCAUGCGGAUUAAUUCGAUGCAACGCGAAGAACCUUACCAAGGCUUGACAUACACGAGAACGGGUCAGAAAUGGUCAACUCUUUGGACACUCGUGAACAGGUGGGUGCA